GCUCGUAACAAGCUCAAAAACCCCCACAAAAUACUAUCUAACUAGUACCACCCAAAACAUUUGACCCAGACAGUAGAUGCGAUCGAACCCCGCCCAAUCGACGCUAUAUAAACAGUACUGUGAAGGAAAAAUGAAAAAGUGUGAAACCGUUAGCAUAACUAAGCAGGGACUAAAACUCGUACCUUUUGCAUCAUGAUUUAGCAAGAAAACUAGACAAAGAGACCUACAGCCUCUCACCCCGAACACAAGUGAUCUACUUCAUGGCAGUUGAACCGAACUAACUCGUCUCUGUGGCAAUAGAGUGAGAAGACCAAGAAGUAGUAGGCCAAAAACCAAGCGAACUUGUUGAUAGCUGGUUAUCCGACAAAUGAAUCUAAGUUCAAACCCAGCAACAUACCUACUACAUGACAAAACAUUUUGCCAGGAGAUAGCCGAUGGGGGCACAGCUCCAUCAGCAUUGGAUACAGCCAAAAGUAGCGAGAAAUACACCUAUACUGAAACCUGUAGGCCUUUAAACAGCCACCAAUAACUAUCGCGUCACAGUAACAAACUAAAAAUACCCUAAAAAACUAAAUUCUCCUAUACACCAACCGGAUAAUUCUACAAAAAUGUAGAAGAAAUUAUGCUAAAAUGAGUAAUUAGAACUACUUCUUCAGACAGAACUUUAACUAAUAUUUACACCCAACAGACCCAAAAAAGAAAUACGACACCCAAUUCAACAACACGUAAAACACACUGUUAACCCAACACUAGGACUGUCCACCCAUAGGCUAAAAACCUUAAAAGGAACUCGGCAAACCCCUUCUCCAACUGUUUACCAAAAACAUAGCUUCUAGCCGGACAAGUAUUAGAAGUAACGCCUGCCCUGUGGAACCCUAAACGGCCGCGGUACAAAACCGUGCAAAGGUAGCACAAUCACUUGUCCCUUAAAUGAGGACCCGUAUGAAAGGCAACAUGAGAGAAAACCUGUCUCCUAAGGUUAGCCAAUGAAAUUGAUCUAUCAGUACAAAAGCUGGUAUAAUAAAGCAAGACAAAAAGACCCUAUGGAACUUUAACGAGUUGCUUACACAAAUUAAGCAAUAGUUUCAGUUGGGACAACUUUAGAAAAAAUAAACCUCUAACAUUCAUUAUCUCGACCAACAAGUCUCCAAUACGCUACAUAGACCCAGUAACACUGAUAAAUGAAACAAGCUACCCUAGGGAUAACAGCGCUACCUUCUCAAAGAGUCCAUAUCAACAAGAAGAUCUACGACCUCGAUGUUGGAUCAGGGUACCCUGACGGUGCAGCAGCUGUCAAUGGUUCGUUUGUUCAACGACUAACACCCUACGCGAUCUGAGUUCAGACCGGAGCAAUCCAGGUCGGCCUUUAUCUGCUCUAAGUUUUUGCUAGUACGAAAGGACCGCUAAAACAAGACUAAUGCUAACAGCACAUCUUACAAAAAUAAUGCAUAAAACUUAAAUACAAAAAUACACCAAACCCAAAAAAAGGACCCACAAAACCAGGAUUCUGGUGCCAC
This 1517-nucleotide ribosomal RNA is filed under the name Chamaeleo dilepis (flapneck chameleon). Its description in RNAcentral is "large subunit ribosomal RNA". It matches the Rfam family "Bacterial large subunit ribosomal RNA". Lineage: Eukaryota; Metazoa; Chordata; Lepidosauria; Squamata; Chamaeleonidae. The record is from RNAcentral.